UACGUAGGGGGCUAGCGUUGUCCGGAAUCAUUGGGCGUAAAGCGCGUGUAGGCGGUCCGGUAAGUCCGCUGUGAAAGUCGGGGGCUCAACCCUCGAAUGCCGGUGGAUACUGUCGGGCUAGAGUGCGGAAGAGGCGAGUGGAAUUCCUGGUGUAGCGGUGAAAUGCGCAGAUAUCAGGAGGAACACCUAUUGCGAAGGCAGCUCGCUGGGACGUAACUGACGCUGAGACGCGAAAGCGUGGGGAGCAAACAGG
RNAcentral lists this ribosomal RNA (253 nucleotides) under uncultured bacterium. RNAcentral describes it as "partial 16S ribosomal RNA". It matches the Rfam family "Bacterial small subunit ribosomal RNA", at positions 524 to 776 of the family's 1533-position model. The record is from RNAcentral.